This 253-nucleotide ribosomal RNA is filed under the name uncultured bacterium. RNAcentral's name for it is "partial 16S ribosomal RNA". It matches the Rfam family "Bacterial small subunit ribosomal RNA", at positions 524 to 776 of the family's 1533-position model. The record is from RNAcentral.
GACAGAGGUCCCGAGCGUUAGGCGGAAUCACUGGGCUUAAAGCGUGUGUAGGCGGAUCGUUAAGUGCCUUGUGAAAUCCCACGGCUUAACCGUGGAACUGCUUGGCAUACUGGCGGUCUUGAGCCACUUAGGGGCUACCGGAACAAAUGGUGGAGCGGUGAAAUGCGUAGAUAUCAUUUGGAACGCCAAUGGUGAAAACAGGUAGCUGGGAGUGUGCUGACGCUGAGACACGAAAGCCAGGGGAGCGAACGGG